AGUUGCUUACUGGGAGGGAGAAGGGAGGGGUAAGGAGGUGGGGUGGCUGGUGGAGUGCAAUUGCAUUGGUGGAGGCAAGUCAGUGUUCCUACCAGUGCAUUUGAAUCAUGCAGACCUCCCUACCACCUUGCCCCUCUCCCUUCUGGUAAGCAAC
Molecule: non-coding RNA, 154 nt
Organism: Podarcis lilfordi (Lilford's wall lizard)
Lineage: Eukaryota; Metazoa; Chordata; Lepidosauria; Squamata; Lacertidae
Source: the annotation of a GenBank genome assembly